UCUUCAAUAGCUAUAGUGGUUUGAGUGUUGGACUACAACUCUGGAGACCGGGGUUUGAAUCCCUGUUUUGGCA
Molecule: non-coding RNA, 73 nt
Organism: Phrynosoma platyrhinos (Desert horned lizard)
Lineage: Eukaryota; Metazoa; Chordata; Lepidosauria; Squamata; Phrynosomatidae
Source: the annotation of a GenBank genome assembly